CCGAUCACCGAAGUCAAGCAUCAUCGGGCGCGGUCAGUACUUGGGAGGGUGACCACCUAGGAACACUGCGUGCCGUU
This is a non-coding RNA of Caerostris darwini, 77 nucleotides long. The record is from the annotation of a GenBank genome assembly. NCBI's taxonomy places the organism in Eukaryota, Metazoa, Arthropoda, Arachnida, Araneae, Araneidae.